AGAGUUUGAUCCUGGCUCAGAACGAACGCUGGCGGCGUGCCUAACACAUGCAAGUCGAACGGGGAUAAGUAGCUUGCUAUUUAUUCUAGUGGCGCACGGGUGAGUAACGCGUAGAUAAUCUGCCUUAGACUCUGGGAUAACAUCUCGAAAGGGGUGCUAAUACCGGAUAAGCCCACGGGGACGUGAGUUCUUGCGGGAAAAGGGGGCCUCUGCAUAUGCUCUUGAUCUAAGAUGAGUCUGCGUACCAUUAGCUUGUUGGUAGGGUAAUGGCCUACCAAGGCGACGAUGGUUAGCUGGUCUGAGAGGAUGAUCAGCCACACUGGGACUGAGACACGGCCCAGACUCCUACGGGAGGCAGCAGUGGGGAAUUUUGCGCAAUGGGGGAAACCCUGACGCAGCAACGCCGCGUGAGUGAUGAAGGCUUUCGGGUCGUAAAGCUUUGUCUAGAGGGAAGAAGUGAUAUUCGGUUAAUACCCGGGUUUCUUGACGGUACCUCUGAAGGAAGCACCGGCUAACUCCGUGCCAGCAGCCGCGGUAAUA
Molecule: ribosomal RNA, 540 nt
Filed under: uncultured bacterium
Lineage: Bacteria
Description: bacterial SSU rRNA
Rfam family: Bacterial small subunit ribosomal RNA
Source: RNAcentral